GAUGAAGAACGUAGUGAAAUGCGAUAAGUAAUGUGAAUUGCAGAAUUCAGUGAAUCAUCGAAUCUUUGAACGCACAUUGCGCCCGCCAGUAUUCUGGCGGGCAUGCCUGUUCGAGCGUCAUUACAACCCUCAGGCCCCCGGGCCUGGCGUUGGGGAUCGGCGGAGCCCCCCGUGGGCACACGCCGUCCCCCAAAUGCAGUGGCGGUCCCGCCGCAGCUUCCAUCGCGUAGUAGCUAACACCUCGCGACUGGAGAGCGGCGCGGCCACGCCGUAAAACACCCAACUCUUCUGAAGUUGACCUCGAAUCAGGUAGGAAUACCCGCUGAACUUAUGCAUAUCAAUAAGCGGAGGA
RNAcentral lists this unclassified non-coding RNA (352 nucleotides) under soil metagenome. Its description in RNAcentral is "partial contains 5.8S ribosomal RNA, internal transcribed spacer 2, and large subunit ribosomal RNA". The stretch from base 1 to 120 matches the Rfam family "5.8S ribosomal RNA", at positions 35 to 154 of the family's 154-position model. The record is from RNAcentral.